This is a long non-coding RNA of Mesocricetus auratus (golden hamster), 363 nucleotides long. RefSeq lists it as uncharacterized. The record is from RefSeq and is a predicted model, not a curated record. The transcript is spliced from 3 exons. Lineage: Eukaryota; Metazoa; Chordata; Mammalia; Rodentia; Cricetidae.
CUUUUUUCUGCUGGGCUUCUGGGGCGGGCUCAGGUACCCACCUACCCCCAUCCCCACCCCAGCGUCCAGAGGCCUGGUCGUCCCCACCCCUAGCCCCGCUCAAGUCUGAAAACUGCAGAGAGGGAGGACACAAUCAAGCAGCCAAUAUUGAUUGAAUAAUAAGCUUCACUUGCCAGAAGCACUGGAAAUUCUGUAUUCUAGACUGACUGUGGAGAAGAGGCCACAUAAUAAUGAAGAGGUAUUUCAGCUUAUACCUGAAACUGCAUCUGCCCUGUGCUAUUUCAACUUAUACCUGAAACUGCCAUCAGUCAGAUUUAGCUUUUCAAAUAGAAAUGUGACUUGUCCAAGAAAUAAAUAAAAAUA